GGUGGCUCACUAGUAGAGUACUUGCCUUGCAUGCAUGAAGCCCUAGGUUCGAUUCCUCAGCACCA
RNAcentral lists this transfer RNA (65 nucleotides) under Dipodomys ordii (Ord's kangaroo rat). It matches the Rfam family "tRNA". Rfam says of the family: Transfer RNA (tRNA) molecules are approximately 80 nucleotides in length. Their secondary structure includes four short double-helical elements and three loops (D, anti-codon, and T loops). The record is from Rfam by way of RNAcentral. Lineage: Eukaryota; Metazoa; Chordata; Mammalia; Rodentia; Heteromyidae.